Long non-coding RNA from Triticum dicoccoides, 1957 nucleotides. RefSeq lists it as uncharacterized. The transcript is spliced from 3 exons. The record is from RefSeq and is a predicted model, not a curated record. NCBI's taxonomy places the organism in Eukaryota, Viridiplantae, Streptophyta, Magnoliopsida, Poales, Poaceae.
CGAACACAGCCCCACUCCACCUCCACCUUCUUCCGCGCGCCCCCUCCCCCGGGUGCCCAUGGAACCAGCGCCGGCUCGACCCGCCUUCCCCGCCGCCGCAAAAACUGCCUCCACAGUCCCCGCGCACCGCCCAAAGCCAUGGCCCGCAUCGCCGCGCCACCCAGGCCCCUCUUUGCACUGAUGUGGAUGCCCUCCUCCACCACACCCCGCCCCGUUCCACCCUCCCUAACCCCCACUACCUUCCACGGCCGAUGCGUCCCAAUCCCCCGAUGCCUCCACCAACCGCGGGCGCCGGACUCCCCCACAGCCGCCUCCUUUCUCUCCGGUGGUCGGCUACCCAAGGGCCGAUGCGUGACCAUCUCCCCCCUCGCUGGAUCCGUUAGCAAGAUCCACGCUCACUGCGCCCACGGGAUCCCGCGUCGCCACCGGCGAACUCGCCGGAUACGACCUCCCUGAUGGCCAUGGAGUACGAAGACCACCGGAUCCCCCCUCCCCUGCGAUGAGAGGGUCCUUCUCCAGCGCGCCUACAAUGACCAGGGCGGGGGAGGUGCCCCCACUGCCUUGAUCUGAUCCCGAAAAAGGAGUUCCUCUCCGGUGAGGUUGACGGCUCGGAUUCAUCGCCGGGAGCCCACCACUCUGGCACCCCACCUACCCCCGACAACUUCCUCCUCCGGUGAGCCUGCCCAACCCGCAUCGGCACCUACCUGCGCCGCCCCUCCCUACCCCGCACCACCUCCGCCCGUCGUUGUCCCCAGCAUAUGUGCUGCCGCCACACACCUUUGGAUCUCAGCAGCCGCCCAGCCCACCGGCGCCUCUCCGGGCAUCUACUUCCUCACAGGCCGUAUGGCCCACGAGCAGUUCCGGUUGCAGAGGAACCCCGUCGCUGGCUCCGGCCCGCACCAUCUCCGCCCGUCGCCGUUCCCAGCACACGACCGUCCCCAAAACACUACCUCCUUCCCGUCUUUUUCCUGCAAUGCUCCAGCCCGCAGGCGAGUAGUGCGGCAGCGCCCCCUGUGCCUAUCAUCUCCACCCCGCUCGGCCUCCAUCUACACGGCGGCAUGAGUUAUGCGGUUCAGCUCGGGCGCACGCAUGAUGCGGUUCGGUGCCUGUGCACUUGAAGUCUCUAAUGCAGUUCCAUAAAGUCUCAAUGCAGUAGAAAACGCCCCUGGAAGAGCAGUAUUUCCAGUUGUGGCGUGGUUUGGUCAAUGACACAGCAACAAUGCUCUUGAAGAGCAGCAUCUACCCGUGUGCAGUUCAUAAAAAGUUUGACCGGGUGAUAAAAUGCUAAUUAUGUGCAUGCUCCGCGGUGCAGUUUAGAGCAAAAACGGCUGUGUUCGACCCCUCGAGGUGCAGUGCAAUACGGCUUGCAUGCAGUACCAGCGUAGCGUGCGUGCAAUCACCUCCUCCCUGGCAUUCCUGGACGCCUGCCGGCCGACAUCUACACCAAAGUUGGAGACGAGCUUCACCGGUCUUUGUUGUGCAGUUAACUCACUUCGUCCCCUUCGUUGGCGAAACCGUGCACAUUCUUCCUCUCUGGGUUCAGUAGCGCAAGGUCUCCCUGGAGCAGUCCACAAAGCAAGCGCAUGUGGCCAUCAUCGACUCGCCAUGCAGUGCACUUCUGUACUGUGAGGCUCACAUCGUCGGGAUUAUGACAAAUUUUGAAGUUUGCUUCAAUCGCAUUCACCUCGAUGGCUCACCAUGCAGUUUACUCGAUGUGCGUGUAGUCUGCUUGUAGUCCCACUGGAUGUGCGUGUAGUCUGCCUCUCACCCCGCGCAUGCGUGCAGUACAUUUUUUUCAUGAAAAAGAUGCGCGACGUAGUUCACUCCAUCCAUGUUUUGCAUUUUUUGGAGAUUUCUUUUGAAGUGCACUCAGUUUGUGUAAAAAAGAAUGAUGUUUCAUUACCCCUAUGUAUGAAGUGCAAUUUGUUUCGUGUGUUUAAAAAAUCAGUCGACUAUA